GACGAACGCUGGCGGCGUGCCUAAUACAUGCAAGUAGAACGCUGAAGGAGGAGCUUGCUCUUCUGGAUGAGUUGCGAACGGGUGAGUAACGCGUAGGUAACCUGCCUGGUAGCGGGGGAUAACUAUUGGAAACGAUAGCUAAUACCGCAUAACAGUAGAUGUUGCAUGACAUUUACUUAAAAGGUGCAAUUGCAUCACUACCAGAUGGACCUGCGUUGUAUUAGCUAGUUGGUGGGGUAACGGCUCACCAAGGCGACGAUACAUAGCCGACCCGAGAGGGGGAUCGGCCACACUGGGACUGAGACACGGCCCAGACUCCUACGGGAGGCAGCAGUAGGGAAUCUUCGGCAAUGGACGGAAGUCUGACCGAGCAACGCCGCGUGAGUGAAGAAGGUUUUCGGAUCGUAAAGCUCUGUUGUAAGAGAAGAACGAGUGUGAGAGUGGAAAGUUCACACUGUGACGGUAUCUUACCAGAAAGGGACGGCUAACUACGUG
RNAcentral lists this ribosomal RNA (495 nucleotides) under uncultured bacterium. Its description in RNAcentral is "partial 16S ribosomal RNA". It matches the Rfam family "Bacterial small subunit ribosomal RNA", at positions 28 to 507 of the family's 1533-position model. The record is from RNAcentral.